RNAcentral lists this long non-coding RNA (2036 nucleotides) under Sus scrofa (pig). Its description in RNAcentral is "lncRNA (ENSSSCG00045034875.1)". Lineage: Eukaryota; Metazoa; Chordata; Mammalia; Artiodactyla; Suidae. The record is from RNAcentral.
GUCGGGUUUCGGGCUGAGGAAGGGCUGGGGAAGGCGGGAAAAUGGAAAGGCCUCGCCCGUCCCGGAAGGACCUAUAGGAGUGCAGCAGUGCGCGGCGCGACUGCUGAGUGGCCGAGGUGGUGUGGGGGCGGGGCGAGAUGAGGCGGGACGAGCGUGGCGGUCUGGCUGGGGCGACCCGCGGAGGCUGCGGUGGGACUGUAGCGACGACCGCAACAGCGCGAGCUUCAGUGGGUUUCUUCAAGAGCUUUCCGCCAUUGACCAGGCUUUGAAAGCGCUUUACGAACGCUUCCAGCCGGGAUCCAAUACAACUACCAGCACAAACAGAAAAACCAAGUGGAGCAAAAAGGAAACACAUAUUUUCGAUCUAUUUCUUGUCAGGAAGCAAUUAAAGAGACAGAGCACAUCCCUGAGCACUGUCAAGGCUCCUCCCAGGAAUCACAUUCGGCAUCUCAACAGCAAGCUGCUGUAGCUUUGAACUGUGUCUGUGAGUACCUGUGCUUUAUCUUGAUUCAUUUUGUGCAUGCAUGAGCAAGAUGUGUCCUAAGGUAACUGCUUCUUCAAUUUACACCAUCUUGGCUUUGAAAGGUUUCAUAGAAACAUUCUACUUCCCCAAAGCAGAGGAAACCUAUAUACAGCCCAGACUAAGGACCACUUGAGGGAUCACCAGAAUCACCUGGAGAGCUUGUUAAACCACGGAUUGCUGGGCUCUACCCGCAGAGUGUCUGAUUCAGUAGGUUUAGGGCCCAAGAAUUCGAAUUUUUAACCAGCUCCCAGGUAAUAUUGAUGUGCUGGCCCAGAAUAGAAUAGAACAAACUAAAAAAGGGAUAUCUCAUUCAGCUAUGAACAACCCAAUCUUCCUUCUUUUUUAUCUUCAUAAUUGGACCCAGGGAUGGACUUAGGAGUAAAUAUAACACUAGUAGAUAUUUUAAUAUAUACUCCCCUAUGCCCCCAAAAAGAAUUUGAGGUGUUAAUAUGAUUUAAAUAGAAAUCAAAAAAGUUCUCUGGUAAUUACUAAUUCACUAUUUUGGUUAUUAAAACUCAUCAAGGCCUUUAUUACAAAUAAUGCAAAUUUUCUUCUUGAGGAAAAAGAGCCCUGAGCUUGGUGGGGGAAAGGAAGUAGUGGAGGCAGAGUAGGAUGGGGGCAUGCAAUGUUACUGACUUAAUAGUCACUGAGAACUGCCUGGGUUUUGACCUCAAGUUGUCUCUUGAAACUUGACAGUCCAGGAAUCCUGUCUUCAGUCACUGGAUGUUCUGGUCCUUAUCUCCACCUGUCGCCACACCUGCGCUAUCAUACUCUCAACACCCACCCCCCUGCCAAACUGAGAUUGUACUACAAUCUCUUUUUUUUUUCUCCUGUUCAAGUUCCUCUGUGAGCAACACUUUGCCUUUCUGGGUCUCAGCUGUGUCAUCUCUAAAGUGGGGAAAGGAGUAUGGGGCAACAGCACAACAGGGCCAACUUGGAUAUUCGGUGACUUGAUUUUCAUGGCUUUGGGGCAAAAAGGCUGGCAAACCUCAGUUCUUCUCUGGGGCCCCAAGCCUUGGAAAGGGACUAAAGGAAAGUUAGUUGGCUCCUCCUCAUUUGCCUUAUGAUGUCAGUCCAGAGAAAAGAAACCUGGACUGAGAUUAGGAGUCCUAGGUAUCAACUGAAAAACAAACAAACAAAUAAAACAAAACAAAAACAAACCCCAAAACACACACAACUUAAAUGUUAAGUUUUAUUCUGGGGCCUUACUAAGGACUAUGGCCUGGUAGACUGCCUCUCAGAUAUCUCUGAGGAACUGUUGCAAAAGGUAAAGGAGGAGCCAAAACAUAUAUGAGUUUUCCUGACAACAACAAAAAACCCAUGUAGUUAAACAUCAAAAGACUGUUAGUUACAAAAAAGCAGACAUCUCAAGGUAAUGAUUUCAGUGCUUUUCUAUGCAUGGGAAGAUGCAAUAGUCUGGGCUUAUUGAAACUAUUCUUUUGAUAAGCAUUUAACUAGGGCCAGUAUCUUGUUUUUCUUCAUCCUAAAUUCCCCUCAGAAGACAAGGUAGGGC